This 465-nucleotide ribosomal RNA is filed under the name Vreelandella stevensii. Its description in RNAcentral is "partial 16S ribosomal RNA". It matches the Rfam family "Bacterial small subunit ribosomal RNA", at positions 338 to 795 of the family's 1533-position model. The record is from RNAcentral. Lineage: Bacteria; Pseudomonadati; Pseudomonadota; Gammaproteobacteria; Oceanospirillales; Halomonadaceae.
CCUACGGGCGGCUGCAGUGGGGAAUAUUGGACAAUGGGCGAAAGCCUGAUCCAGCCAUGCCGCGUGUGUGAAGAAGGCCUUCGGGUUGUACAGCACUUUCAGUGGGGAAGAAAGCCUUGGGGCUAAUACCCUCGAGGAAGGACAUCACCCACAGAAGAAGCACCGGCUAACUCCGUGCCAGCAGCCGCGGUAAUACGGAGGGUGCGAGCGUUAAUCGGAAUUACUGGGCGUAAAGCGCGCGUAGGCGGUCUGAUAAGCCGGUUGUGAAAGCCCCGGGCUCAACCUGGGAACGGCAUCCGGAACUGUCAGGCUAGAGUGCAGGAGAGGAAGGUAGAAUUCCCGGUGUAGCGGUGAAAUGCGUAGAGAUCGGGAGGAAUACCAGUGGCGAAGGCGGCCUUCUGGACUGACACUGACGCUGAGGUGCGAAAGCGUGGGUAGCAAACAGGAUUAGAUACCCCGGUAGUC